GCGCCAUCAACACCUUCACCAUCGACACCAUCAACACCACCUUCGCCAUGGGACUAAAGAGGAAGAAAACGGAAUCAAAAACAACCUUAUCCCUUCCCUAUCUCCUCCUCCUCCUCUUCCACCUCGCCCUCACCAUCCCUCCUGCUUCUACCACUACUACUGUUGCCCCCUCACUGCUACCUAGAGCCGUAACAACAGAAACAGCAACAGGAGGAACGGUGACGGUCUGGCCAGGGGUGACUCAGGCAAUACUGGCGCGUGACACGACCUUUUCUUGUACCCUUAUCUUGGUUCUCGACGCUGCCUCACCUGUUGCCUCGUCCCUCCCACAGUCGCUAGAGGCUUCAACACACGGGGCGGCGGUGGUGAUGGUGGUGGACAAGGAGGAGAGCAACUUAACGGACUCACUCACUCACCUGCUCCCCUUGGCACGCCAGGUUCGGCUAAGGUCCUGGUGUACGCGUGUCGUCGUGGUGAGCUCCGACGUCGCCUUCCUCGCCGCCUUCGCCAGCUGGUCUCUCCGUAGUCGCCUUCUCGUGUGGGCGGCGCGGCUGGUGGUGCUGACGAGCCUGCCGCCGCCCCUCCUCCUCGCCCUCCUCCCCUCCAGCUGGACCUUCGCCUGGAUGAACGCUGUGUUUGUCAAUGUGCAGGAUGCGACAGCUGGGGCGAGGUGAGAGGAAGGGAUUGUUGUUGGUGUUGUCAGUGGUGGUGGUAGUGGUGGUGGUGGUGUUGUCAGUGGUGGUGGUGGUUGUGGUGGUGGUUGUGG
Eriocheir sinensis (Chinese mitten crab) is the source of this 766-nucleotide long non-coding RNA. RefSeq lists it as uncharacterized. The record is from RefSeq and is a predicted model, not a curated record. The transcript is spliced from 3 exons. NCBI's taxonomy places the organism in Eukaryota, Metazoa, Arthropoda, Malacostraca, Decapoda, Varunidae.